CCCGCAGCCCCUUUCCGGGAGGGCGGGAGGUGCCUCUGGGGGCCACAAACAAUAGCAGGGAAGUUGUAAAGGGAACAAGAACCGACGAGCCCGGCUCUCCUGGGCUGAUUCAGUGCCUUCCAUUCCUCCACGAGCGGACUGCUGUUGGACAAAAGAGGACCCCGCUUCAUAGACAGAGCUUUGUGAAAUUGCCCCAGUAAUCCAUGGGCAUGUGUAAAGAACCAGUAAGUUGACGCUAAAUGAAAUUUAUUAUUCCAACUCGGUAAAAGCUCCACCAACAUUAACUACAUAUUCAGGAUGUCACUUGGAUUUGUCUCUACACUGCAGAAUCUUAAACUUCAUGGCCAGUGAUCCA
Molecule: long non-coding RNA, 355 nt
Organism: Pezoporus flaviventris
Lineage: Eukaryota; Metazoa; Chordata; Aves; Psittaciformes; Psittacidae
Exons: 3
Source: RefSeq, a predicted model, not a curated record